This 455-nucleotide ribosomal RNA is filed under the name uncultured soil bacterium. RNAcentral's name for it is "bacterial SSU rRNA". It matches the Rfam family "Bacterial small subunit ribosomal RNA", at positions 26 to 492 of the family's 1533-position model. The record is from RNAcentral.
AGGACGAACGCUGGCGGCGUGCUUAACACAUGCAAGUCGAGCGGUAAGGCCUUUCGGGGUACACGAGCGGCGAACGGGUGAGUAACACGUGGGUGAUCUGCCCUGCACUUCGGGAUAAGCCUGGGAAACUGGGUCUAAUACCGGAUAUGACCUCAGGUUGCAUGACUUGGGGUGGAAAGAUUUAUCGGUGCAGGAUGGGCCCGCGGCCUAUCAGCUUGUUGGUGGGUAAUGGCCUACCAAGGCGACGACGGGUAGCCGACCUGAGAGGGUGACCGGCCACACUGGGACUGAGACACGGCCCAGACUCCUACGGGAGGCAGCGAGUGGGGAAUACGUGCACAAGUGGGCGAAAGCCUGAUGCAGCGACGCCGCGUGGAGGAUGACGGCCUUCGGGUUACGUAAACCUCUUUCAGCGAGGACGAAGCGACAAGUGACCGGUACGUAGCGAAGAAGAA